This 127-nucleotide small RNA is filed under the name Marmota monax (woodchuck). The record is from RNAcentral. Lineage: Eukaryota; Metazoa; Chordata; Mammalia; Rodentia; Sciuridae.
GCUGGGCACAGUGGUGCAUGCCUAUAAUCCCAAUGGCUUGGGAGGCUGAGGCAGGAGGAUUGCAAGUUGGGGGACAGACUUAGCAGCUUAGCAAGGCCCUAAGAAACUUGGUGAGACCCUGUUUCAA